This 628-nucleotide ribosomal RNA is filed under the name Micromonospora sp. Ri3Ps_5293. RNAcentral's name for it is "bacterial SSU rRNA". It matches the Rfam family "Bacterial small subunit ribosomal RNA", at positions 387 to 1020 of the family's 1533-position model. Lineage: Bacteria; Bacillati; Actinomycetota; Actinomycetes; Micromonosporales; Micromonosporaceae. The record is from RNAcentral.
UGCAGCGACGCCGCGUGAGGGAUGACGGCCUUCGGGUUGUAAACCUCUUUCAGCAGGGACGAAGCGCAAGUGACGGUACCUGCAGAAGAAGCACCGGCUAACUACGUGCCAGCAGCCGCGGUAAGACGUAGGGUGCGAGCGUUGUCCGGAUUUAUUGGGCGUAAAGAGCUCGUAGGCGGCUUGUCGCGUCGACCGUGAAAACUUGGGGCUCAACCCCAAGCCUGCGGUCGAUACGGGCAGGCUAGAGUUCGGUAGGGGAGACUGGAAUUCCUGGUGUAGCGGUGAAAUGCGCAGAUAUCAGGAGGAACACCGGUGGCGAAGGCGGGUCUCUGGGCCGAUACUGACGCUGAGGAGCGAAAGCGUGGGGAGCGAACAGGAUUAGAUACCCUGGUAGUCCACGCUGUAAACGUUGGGCGCUAGAUGUGGGGGGCCUCUCCGGUUCUCUGUGCCGCAGCUAACGCAUUAAGCGCCCCGCCUGGGGAGUACGGCCGCAAGGCUAAAACUCAAAGGAAUUGACGGGGGCCCGCACAAGCGGCGGAGCAUGCGGAUUAAUUCGAUGCAACGCGAAGAACCUUACCAAGGGCUUUGACAUAUACCGCAAAAGCUUCUAGAGAUGGAGAGGUCCUUC